UGCCAGACUCCUACGGGAGGCAGCAGUGGGGAAUAUUGCACAAUGGGGGAAACCCUGAUGCAGCGACGCCGCGUGAGUGAAGAAGUAUUUCGGUAUGUAAAGCUCUAUCAGCAGGGAAGAAAAUGACGGUACCUGACUAAGAAGCCCCGGCUAACUACGUGCCAGCAGCCGCGGUAAUACGUAGGGGGCAAGCGUUAUCCGGAUUUACUGGGUGUAAAGGGAGCGUAGACGGUGAUGCAAGUCAGAUGUGAAAUCCCGCGGCUCAACCGCGGAACUGCAUUUGAAACUGUCAGUCUUGAGUACCGGAGAGGUCAUCGGAAUUCCUUGUGUAGCGGUGAAAUGCGUAGAUAUAAGGAAGAACACCAGUGGCGAAGGCGGAUGACUGGACGGCAACUGACGGUGAGGCGCGAAAGCGUGGGGAGCAAACAGGAUUAGAUACCCGCGUA
Molecule: ribosomal RNA, 446 nt
Filed under: uncultured bacterium
Lineage: Bacteria
Description: bacterial SSU rRNA
Rfam family: Bacterial small subunit ribosomal RNA
Source: RNAcentral